RNAcentral lists this long non-coding RNA (616 nucleotides) under Dromaius novaehollandiae (emu). RNAcentral describes it as "lncRNA (ENSDNVG00000010278.1)". Lineage: Eukaryota; Metazoa; Chordata; Aves; Casuariiformes; Dromaiidae. The record is from RNAcentral.
ACAAAAGCUGUAUKGAGCAGCACUGGUGUAAAUAGCUGUAUUCGGUGAUUCUGUGCAAAUUUACCCUCAGUUCAGACGUGAAGCAGGAGUGAUACAGGCCUUCGGCAAGAUCUGGGCUCCUGAAGCUGCUGGAAGGACUCCCGCAGGUCUUGCUGCAUACCYGCUACAGUAGGUGUUUGCUUGUGCUGAUUAUUUUAGCAUCCUUCGUCUUGCUAAGUAGUUAACUCUUGGAUGGCUGUGAUGAGGAAUGGUUCUGUAACGGUGUCCUGCACGAGUGCACUAAUCGUGAAUGAUGGCAUUUUGCUGGCGGAGGAGCGGCUCCGCGUGCAGGAGCCGGCGUAGGUGCACCGUGAGAGUGCUGAGCACCCGGGCUGUCAUUCCCAGGUGCACGGUCAGCUGCAAGGACUUCACGUYUCCGGGACUAGCAGCUUAGGUGGCUCUUCAAUUCACUUGAGAAAUACCCACCCGGGUAACAUCCCGCGACCCUUUCUGAUUGCCGCUUCUGUGAUUUCUAUAGAGGUGGAGCUACGCUCUGUGUGACCUGUUGCUUCUCGCUGCGAUCAGCUGGCCUCAAGGUAAAGAGCUUUUAUUUAUUUAUUUAUUUAUUUAUUUAUUU